RNAcentral lists this ribosomal RNA (468 nucleotides) under uncultured bacterium. RNAcentral describes it as "partial 16S ribosomal RNA". It matches the Rfam family "Bacterial small subunit ribosomal RNA", at positions 28 to 507 of the family's 1533-position model. The record is from RNAcentral.
GACGAACGCUGGCGGCGUGCUUAACACAUGCAAGUCGAACGGAAAGGCCCUGCUCUUGUGGCGUGCUCGAGUGGCGAACGGGUGAGUAACACGUGAGUAACCUGCCCUUGACUUUGGGAUAACUUCAGGAAACUGGGGCUAAUACCGGAUAGGAGCUCCUGCUGCAUGGUGGGGGUUGGAAAGUUUCGGCGGUGGGGGAUGGACUCGCGGCUUAUAAGCUUGUUGGUGGGGUAGUGGCUUACCAAGGCGUUGACGGGUAGCCGGCCUGAGAGGGUGACCGGCCACAUUGGGACUGAGAUACGGCCCAGACUCCUACGGGGGGCAGCAGUGGGGAAUAUUGCACCAUGGGCGGAAGCCUGAUGCAGCAACGCCGCGUGCGGGAUGAAGGCCUUCGGGUUGUAGACCGCUUUCGCCUGUGACGAAGAGUGAGUGACGGUAAUGGGUAAAGAAGCACCGGCUAACUACGUG